AGAGUUUGAUCCUGGCUCAGGAUGAACGCUGGCGGCGUGCCUAAUACAUGUAAGUCGAACGGAAGAUGUAGCAAUAUGUCUUUAGUGGCGAACGGGUGAGUAACGCGUUGGUGACCUGCCCCGAAGAGAGGGAUAACAGACCGAAAGGUUUGCUAAUACCGCGUAAUUUCCUUCUAGUUAGAGAGGAGGGAAGAAAGGCCGAAAGGCGCUUUGGGAGGGGCCUGCGUCCCAUCAGCUAGUUGGCGAGGUAAAAGCUCACCAAGGCGAUGACGGGUAGGGGACCUGAGAGGGUGACCCCCCACAAUGGAACUGAAACACGGUCCAUACACCUACGGGUGGCAGCAGUAGGGAAUAUUGGUUAAUGGGCGAAAGCCCGACCCAGCAACGCCGCGUGCACGAAGAAGGCCUUCGGGUUGUAAAGUGCUUUUUAGUGGGAUGAGGAAGGACAGUACCACUAGAAUAAGUCUCGGCUAACUACGUGCCAGCAGCCGCGGUAACACGUAGGAGACGAGCGUUAUCCGGAUUUACUGGGUGUAAAGCGCGUGCAGGCGGUCGGGUAAGUUGGAUGUGAAAGCUCCUGGCUUAACUGGGAGAGGUCGUUCAAAACUGCCGGGCUAGAGUGCAACAGAGGGGAGUGGAAUUCCGAGUGUAGCGGUAAAAUGCAUAGAUAUUCGGAAGAACACCAGUGGCGAAGGCGGCUCUCUGGGUUGCAACUGACGCUCAGACGCGAAAGCUAGGGUAGCGAACGGGAUUAGAGACCCCGGUAGUCCUAGCCGUAAACGAUGUGGACUUGGCGUGGGUGGGUUGAAAUCCAUCUGUGCCGAAGCAAACGCGAUAAGUCCACCACCUGGGGACUACGGCCGCAAGGUUAAAACUCAAAGGAAUUG
Molecule: ribosomal RNA, 887 nt
Filed under: uncultured bacterium
Lineage: Bacteria
Description: bacterial SSU rRNA
Rfam family: Bacterial small subunit ribosomal RNA
Source: RNAcentral